RNAcentral lists this ribosomal RNA (460 nucleotides) under uncultured bacterium. Its description in RNAcentral is "partial 16S ribosomal RNA". It matches the Rfam family "Bacterial small subunit ribosomal RNA", at positions 338 to 795 of the family's 1533-position model. The record is from RNAcentral.
CCUACGGGAGGCAGCAGUGAGGAAUAUUGGUCAAUGGACGAAAGUCUGAACCAGCCAAGUAGCGUGAAGGAUGACUGCCCUAUGGGUUGUAAACUUCUUUUAUAAAGGAAUAAAACGAGGCACGUGUGCCUUUUUGCAUGUACUUUAUGAAUAAGGAUCGGCUAACUCCGUGCCAGCAGCCGCGGUAAUACGGAGGGUCCGAGCGUUAUCCGGAUUUAUUGGGUUUAAAGGGAGCGUAGAUGGGUUGUUAAGUCAGUUGUGAAAGUUUGCGGCUCAACCGUAAAAUUGCAAUUGAUACUGGCAGUCGUGAGUACAGUUGAGGUAGGCGGAAUUCGUGGUGUAGCGGUGAAAUGCUUAGAUAUCACGAAGAACCCCGAUUGCGAAGGCAGCUUACUAAACUGUGACUGACAUUGAUGCUCGAAAGUGUGGGUAUCAAACAGGAUUAGAUACCCGAGUAGUC